UCUCUCUCCUCCCCCCGCAUUUUCCUUUUCUUUUUUGUUUUUUCCCUCACUGUUAGAUCUCAGGUAUUAUAUAUAGUUAUCUAGUAUCUACAUUAUACAGCACACUCACACAUAUAGAUUCGAGGUGUUAUUAUAUAUAUAUUUGAAGUUUCUCAGACUAAGCACUUGAGCAAAAUUUGGAUCCUAUCUUUAACUAUUUGAUUCAAAUACUUUUCCCUUAUGGCCACUUUCCUAUUUGAGUUUCCCAAGUAGGUUUCACUCGUCACAGGAUAGCUUCUUUGAUUUGAUUCUUGCCUGCGUUUCUUCUUCUUCUUCUUUCACACAGCCACACAUCUGGAUUUGAGUCUCGUUUGCUUUAGUAGUUUUCUUUGAUCUCUUGAGGUUCUGAAAGUAUAUAAGUAUUUUAUGUUCUUUUUGGACAAGUUGUUUUUCUUUUUACAGUUUUUUUAAGGGUUUUUCCUUCUUUUUUUCUCUCAAGGAAUGAGUUCAGCUCAUCAGAGUGCUAGAUUCCUUACUGCAAAAUAAAAUUUGAUGAUGUAGCAGAAUCAAUUUUUUUUUUCUGUCCACUCGAACCUUUGUAAACCCUUCUAUCGUUCAUUCUCAAGUUAAAAUCAAUUUUAAUGAGAUGUUUCUGUGAACAACAUCUAGGUUUCAAAAUUAAUUCUAGUAAAAGAGAAUCUGAUCCAAUCAUGCUAUAAGUUGAUUCUGUGUGUAGGUGCAACUUUUAAACCAUUUUGUAUAGUUGAUUCUAAAGUCAAAUUCAAUUUUUGGAAGAAACUUUUAUGAAUAGUUUCUAGGCAUUCGGAUCUUAUUCUGAUAGAAGACAAACUGAUCUAAACAUAUAUAUGCUAUAAGUUUUUUUUUUCAUACUUUUCAUGAGAUUGUAGCUUCUAUGUAGACUUUAUUUAAAGGAGCUAGUUGCAUGGAGGAUGGUCGUUAUUUGCAGAUGUAGCAUCAUCAAGAUUCACAUGCAAAUGCAAAUGCAAUCUAAGGCCAAGCCAUAGAUCUUUUGAAGUGAGAAUCUUGAUGAUGCUGCAUCAGCCAUGAACGGCUUUGAGAAGUACUAUUUUAACCCCUAAAAAAUUGGCAAAUGCAAACACACUAUUGGGGAUGCACACACCCCAAACCUUCAGACACUGUCCCUGAUCUGCACAUUUCAACAAGAGGUGUGACACCCUUUCCUUUUCUUUUUGUUGGUGUCAGGUGAGUAAAAAUCUUUUGUUUAAUUUUAUUUUUUUGUAGUGGGAUUUUUUUUUAUUGGCACAUUUGUGGAUACUUACACAGGGUAUGGCCUUGUGAAUUGUGAUGCUUCUUUCUUUCUUUAUAUUAUUAACUAUUAUUAUGCAUUAAUUAGCUCUUCUGAGUUUUUCAGACAAUACUAGGUUAUCAAACACAUAGGCUAUUUGGAUUGGCUGCUAGGUCCUUUAUGUGCUGACUUCAUAGAUCUAUGAAUAUUCCUUUUCAACAGAAAUGCUGUGCUGGGAUGUAAAUGGUGUCUUUUCAGUUUCUAAAUAUAGAUGGAGAUAUGACUUUAUCCAAAUCUAGAGAGAAUGGUAUAUUAUAGAGACAGCACAGGGAGAUGAAAUCUCUAAACAACUUCAUCAAAGCCAGCAAUUUGGAGCCAAUAAUUGAAUAUGAAUGUUGUUCCAAGUGGGUUACAAUCUCAGAGAUGAAGCAGAUUAUUGAAAAUUGAAGCUGGCUUGGGAAUACAAAACCAGGGACAUGACAAUGGGCAUUGUCUUAGUUCCAUGAUCUUGGCUUUGGCUCUGGUUGGUGGACCAAAAAGAGUCUUGCAAGUUGGACCCUCAUAGCCUCAGUUCUCUCAUGCUGCCGAAGACACUCCAAUGUUCACCAAUGCUCUUUAUGUUGCCUGUCACACCCUUGUUUGGCCAAUUGAUCUCCCGCCAGUUGAUUCAUCACUUUAUACUCAUGUUUCUCUUUCACACAGUUCACUUUGGCCCUAAGAUAAUCAAUAAGAUUUUAACUAUUAGAUAAUUUUCAGGGCCUAGCAGAAUUGCUAUUCGCCCACCCUACCUCGAGGGAUGAAUUAUUUUAGUUUCCAUGACUAUAUACUGGAAAUUGAAUUGGUCACAUAAGAGAAAGGCAUGUAAAAUCAAGGAAAUUUCAACUUUACAAUGCCCAAUUGAUUUAGAAAA
Molecule: long non-coding RNA, 2156 nt
Organism: Lotus japonicus
Lineage: Eukaryota; Viridiplantae; Streptophyta; Magnoliopsida; Fabales; Fabaceae
Exons: 4
Source: RefSeq, a predicted model, not a curated record